CUCCUCUUCCACCAUAGCCUCCUUCUGCCUCUAUUUUUCUUCCUCUUUACUCCUUCUCCCUUCCUCACCCCUAGUAAUGUCAUUUUAGUUCAUAUUGUUGUGAGUAAAGUCAUUUUAGUUAAAGCAUAGUAAGCAAUAUAAAAUACAACAUUAGAGAGCUUUAAUGACUACAUAAUAAUUAUAUCAUAAAUGCAUAAGAACUUCUUCCUGAUAAAAUUACACAUUCAAUAUCAAGGGUUUGGAUUGCAUACUUGGCUUCAUCACCCUUUCUAGAGCCAAUAUGAAGCCUUUGAUUUCAAUAAGCAAGCCUAAACAAAAUUUUGGAUCAGUUAGCAUAACUAGAAUCUUGAUUACAACUCUAGAAAGCUACUGUAAGUUCAAACUAGACAGCAUAAGACCUGAUAACGAAGAAAAUUCAUUCUACAUAUCGCAAUUGUGGUUACCCAAGAAAUGAAGAGAAUAAAACCAUUUAUAAGUUACUCAGAACAAACACACUCAAUUGUGAAAAACCCAUGGUCAAGGAGAGUUUAUAGAUCAUUAAAUUUUGGUUAUACUAUUCCACAGCAAUUUUGGAAAGGAGAAUGGAACGACCCAAAUUAUAAGAGUGUUAUCUGGUCAAUAAGUUACUCCCUAAUUUCGCCGGAACAAACACACUCAAUUAGAAAAAAUCUAAGAUUGAGAAGAAUUUAUAGAUCAUUAAAUUUUGGUUGUACUAUUCCAUAGAAAUUUUGAAAAAGAGAAAGCAAAUAGCCUAUAUUAUAGGAGUGUCAUAUGGUCACUAAUCAUUCUCAAGAAUAUGACGAAUAACAACCACCAAGAGAGAACUCCAAGAUCACAAAAAAGGUAGCUUUGCAUUUAAUAUUUCUAUUUAAGGCCACAAAAAAAAUCGAAAAUUACAUUUGCUUUCAUAAUUUCAGACUUGUUGAGAUUCUCUGAUUUUUUUUUUUUAAUUUCUCUAACCCAAUUCCCUAGCUUCAAGAGACAUUAACGUAACCAAAGAACCCGUCAACACCAAAGCUUAUUCAGCCAGAUAGAAAGCAACUACGAUUGUGACUAUUUGAAUUUAAAUCACAACAAUUGAAAAACUCAACAUUAUACAACCCCAAUAAAUAUAACCAAUCAUACAACAUCUCAAUGGAUGACAAUAGCUAUCCAUGAUGUCUUCAUCUGGUAGUGUUGUUGACAACACUGGAUGACUUUUAUGAAUCUUGAAGGAGACAUAUAUAAAGAGAUGCACAAAUUACUAAAUAUGACAUGUCAUGUAAGACUAGAUAAGCGACAUCAAUAAAAUAUUUCCUAUGUAAGAUUAAAGAAUGGAGUUCAAGUUAGAAAGAUGCCUUAGAAAGAUAUAUUUUAUGAAUUUCAUCAUUCAAUGACACAUCCAAAGCAAUAAUAUACUCCUAGAUUCUAAACUUCUAGAAAUGCACACUUAGAGCAACCAUAGAACUAUUUGCUGUAUCAUGAUCAAUGGGGGAAAUAGAAACAUACUUUUGGCAAGUGUAACAUCAUGAGCUAAUUGUGCAAAUUCUUCAAGUGAUUCAUCAACAGCAAAUGGUGAUGUUGAUAAUUUAGUGCCUUUACAUUCAACUCCAACAAGGUAGGCUUCCUCUUGACAAACCUAUAUUCUUAAUAUGAUAAUUCUUUAUUUUUAAAAUGAUGAAAAAAUGAGCUACAUAUCAGUUUGUAAUAUAUUUUGCCAGAAAAGUGCAAAUUGAAAAAGACGCAAAUAAAAGAGAAAAAACAAAGGCUAAAGGAAUUGAAAUGUGUCUAAAUAUAUUAUUCAUGAAUGAUCUAUGAUAAAAGAAUAUCUAGGAUGCAAUUCAAGAGUGAGAUAAUGUCUGUUUUUUCUUUCUUAACAAAAACACUAACAGAAGUCAUAAUUCCUGUAUAGUAAUUAUCAAUAAUUCGCAAGAAAGGUUACAUAAUGUUAAGAGGCAAGCCAGAAGAGCAAGUAAAAUACUAAUGACUUUUCAAUAAUCAAAUUUGAAAAACCACUAGAGAUAUUCUCUAGUCAAGGUAAUAUAAUAGCUUCAACAAAAAAAGAUACUCAAACCUGAUUCUCAAAUUCUAUAAGUGAAGCAUCUUUGCUCUGAGUGUCUUUGUCCCUGAAUAAACAAAUAAAGAAUGUGCCUUGAUCAUAAAAUAAAAGAAAUAUAAUCCUCAACAUAUGAGUAAAGCAUCACAAAUGGCAGUCUAUAAGAAAGUUGCUGUAGGUGAAAUUCUCUGCGUAGCAUGAACCAUGAAGCAAUUUGCUAACUUAAUCAUCAUGGUGAUUAUAAUCAAAAGAUGUUAGGCAAAUCUAUUGUACAAAACUGAAAACAAAUGAGGCCUGCACUGAUAUGAUUACUAAGUUGACAUAAAGAAGUACAUCACGUUGCAUAUCAACUCAUGAAUAACAUAAAUUUGAUAUGAAAGAAAAAUUGAAUCUGGUUAGCAUCAAAUAAAACUAUGUAGCAAAAUUCCUAUUCAAUAAAGCUA
This 2478-nucleotide long non-coding RNA is filed under the name Musa acuminata (dwarf banana). Its description in RNAcentral is "long non-coding RNA (MACU_LNC011863)". Lineage: Eukaryota; Viridiplantae; Streptophyta; Magnoliopsida; Zingiberales; Musaceae. The record is from RNAcentral.